This is an RNA transcript of Camelina sativa (false flax), 1037 nucleotides long. It is a transcript of the gene named homeobox protein knotted-1-like 3, with no coding region annotated. NCBI's taxonomy places the organism in Eukaryota, Viridiplantae, Streptophyta, Magnoliopsida, Brassicales, Brassicaceae. The record is from RefSeq and is a predicted model, not a curated record.
AACCCCUUCCCGUGACGUGUUCGAUUAUGGUUAGCGGAGGGAGGAAUUUUUUUUUUUUCAUUCUCACGGCGUCGUCUCUCGGUGUUCUCUCUCUGAUGCGUGAGGCUAAACGUCACAGGAUAGCUAUGGUCCAUCGAUCUGCGCCGAGCUCCUCUUCAUCGCUUGUUUUCGCCCUCUCGUUGUGAAGCUACAGACCAUGAGAUCGACGUUUGCGUCGGCGAUCUGCUUUGCCCUCUCCGACGCAUUAUGUGCUGCUUCUAUGUUCUUUCAAAGAGAAAUUGCAACAACAUGUGUGUGUAUUCCUCCUGCUAUGAAAGCUGUGAUGGCUUGUUGUGAGAUUGAGCAGUCUCUUCAAAGCUUAACAGAUAGGAGUGUCUCCUGGUGAAGAGAUGGGAACAACAAUGUCGGAUGAUGGAGAUGAACAAGUAGAGAGUGAUGCUAAAAUGUUCGAUGGGAGCCUAGAUGUGUUGGGGUUUUGUCCUCUGGUUUCUACUGAGAGCGAGAGGUCCUUGAUAGAAAGAGUUAGACAAGAACUCAAGCAUGAACUCAAACAGGGUUACAAGGAGAAGAUAGUAGACAUAAGAGAGGAGAUACUGAGGAAGAGAAGAGCUGGGAAAUUACCAGGAGACACCACCUCUGUUCUCAAAGCAUGGUGGCAAUGAAGCAAGCAGCUACUACAGCCAAUCCAAAGACGGAGACACCACCUCAUGCCUUAAGGUUGCACUUCCAGUGGGAACCGAGUGGGAUCAAUUUAGAUGCACUUUAUGAAUUCAAUUGAGAUUUAACAAAUCUUGGAACUUGGAAGAAGCAUUGGACUAUUGGAGGAAGGAGGAAAGCUAUAUUUACUUGUUUAAAUCAUCGUUGGCAUUUGUGGUUCUUUCUAAUUAAUUUGUUGAAAAAUCUAUCAGGUUGUGCUGUAUGCUCUCUCUUCUUCCUUUUGUUUAAACAUUUCCUUCUAGUUCCCUGUUUAUAAGUUUCUCUUUAUAACGUUACAGCUCAAUUAGUCCCCUAACAAAGGUGCAAACAAGAUUGUCCAA